UCUUUUUCCUAUAAUUUCCCUCAACACUCAUCUAUAAGAACCCUAUCUCCUUACUUCAUCAUCAUAUAACUUUCAUCAUAUCAUUACUCUUCUGGUUUCAUUCUCCAGUCCCAAACCCUCACUCAUAGCACUCUCUCCUCCAUUGACAUAACUUCAACCUCUAAAGCUCAGAGUAAUAGAGCUUGGCCCCUCGCUUCCUAUAUCUCUCUACUCUCAACAUUAACCUAAUUCUAGCAACAACAACACAACUACAACAUUCC
This 260-nucleotide long non-coding RNA is filed under the name Lathyrus oleraceus (garden pea). RNAcentral's name for it is "Pisum sativum (pea) long non-coding RNA (PSAT_LNC013800)". Lineage: Eukaryota; Viridiplantae; Streptophyta; Magnoliopsida; Fabales; Fabaceae. The record is from RNAcentral.